UUAGAUAUUGCUAAACUGAAAAAACAAGUUUUUGAGGCAUCUCAGGCUCAUCUCACCCUAUUGCCUGGAGCUGAUAUUCUUGCUGGAGCCUCUGAUGGCCUUUCUAAUACCAAUCCUUUAAAGUGGAUUGAAACCAUAGGUGGAUCAACAAUUGCAAAUUUUAUUUUGGUUUGUGUCUGUUUAUGUUGCUUGUUUUUAGUCUACAGAUGCAGAUGGUGCCUUGGGAGAGAAACCAGACACCAUGAAUGAGCCAUAAUAGCAAUGGCAGUUAUUAAUAAAAAAAAAUCAAUAGAGGCAAAAAAGGGGAACAUGUGGGAAAGUGUUUCUGGGGUGCCAGUUGAGUUGGUCUCCCCUGUGUGAGACACCCAUGGGAAGCCAUGGGCAGCCUCUGGGGAGAAAAGUCUCCUUAUUGCUUUCAUGUCUUUAUGCCCCAAGAGCAUAACCACUCAGCAGCAUUCCACAGGUUGCUCAGGGAGACAACACUCCCUUGAAGCAGUGGAGUAUAAUCAAACAUCUUGGCUCCUCCUUAAACCCGCUCCCACCCAUUUCAGUCCUGAUAAGCUAAAGAUCUUAAGUAGUUUAGACACACGCCUUUGCUCAAGGAAAUUCACAGAAACCGCCACUGCUACACAUCUUAUGGAAUGACUCACGAGUUCUCCUUCACUGAUUAAUCCUUUUCCUCAUCCCUUCCUCCCCCUCCCAUCUGCCCUAAGAACAAAGAGCUUGUAAACCAGUAAAUUUGGCAGAGCUCAAGAGCUCUGGGCCGUGAGCAAGCCUCCGAUAUUCUGGUCCCCUGAACCCGCCUUUUAAAUGCUUAUUCUGUCUCUUUCUAACUCCUAUGUCUCCACCAGACUCAGGGUACCCACUGGGUGGUGUGGGGCUGGUUUCCCUAACAUUCCCCACCAAAUAAAGCAGCUCCAACCUUCUAGAUGGUUGCUCAGCUCAGAAGUCUUAGAGAAAUUCUGAUGCCUCUCCUCACAUUUGCUCUGUCGGCAAAUCCUGGUGUCACAAGAGGGCUCAGGAGGGUUUCUGGAUGCCAACGAGACCCCAGCCACAGCCGGUCCCCAGAUUCUUGACAUCAUCACAAGAAAGAAUUCACAGGGUUGCUUCAGCGUCCUCACAACAGGAUGGCUGACUUCCCCAAGAGAGCAGCUCAAGAGAGAGCAAGGAGAAAGACACAACAUCUUUAAUGAUCUAUGCUUGGAAGCUAUAUGUUGCCACUUUUGCAAUAUCCUACAGAUCGCUUAGCUCCAUCCAACAUGGAAAGGGAUCAGACACGGGCAUCAUUGCCAGAUGAUAAUCCCUGAUGGUCAUCUUGGAUGCUGGCCACCACAGUUACAUUUGAGAGAUGGGGUUUAGCCAUGUUGCCCAGGAUCCUGGGCU
RNAcentral lists this long non-coding RNA (1383 nucleotides) under Homo sapiens (human). RNAcentral describes it as "HSALNT0384840". Lineage: Eukaryota; Metazoa; Chordata; Mammalia; Primates; Hominidae. The record is from RNAcentral.